GCUCAGGACGAACGCUGGCGGCGUGCUUAACACAUGCAAGUCGAACGGGGUGUUUAUUUCGGUAAACACCAAGUGGCGAACGGGUGAGUAACGCGUAAGCAAUCUACCUUCAAGAUGGGGACAACACUUCGAAAGGGGUGCUAAUACCGAAUGAAUGUAAGAGUAUCGCAUGAGACACUUACUAAAGGAGGCCUCUGAAAAUGCUUCCGCUUGAAGAUGAGCUUGCGUCUGAUUAGCUAGUUGGUGAGGGUAAAGGCCCACCAAGGCGACGAUCAGUAGCCGGUCUGAGAGGAUGAACGGCCACAUUGGGACUGAGACACGGCCCAGACUCCUACGGGAGGCAGCAGUGGGGAAUCUUCCGCAAUGGGCGAAAGCCUGACGGAGCAACGCCGCGUGAACGAUGAAGGUCUUAGGAUCGUAAAGUUCUGUUGUUAGGGACGAAGGAUAAGGAUUAUAAUACAGUCUUUGUUUGACGGUACCUAACGAGGAAGCCACGGCUAACUACGUGCCAGCAGCCGCGGUAAUACGUAGGCGGCAAGCGUUGUCCGGAAUUAUUGGGCGUAAAGGGAGCGCAGGCGGGAAACUAAGCGGAUCUUAAAAGUGCGGGGCUCAACCCCGUGAUGGGGUCCGAACUGGUUUUCUUGAGUGCAGGAGAGGAAAGCGGAAUUCCCAGUGUAGCGGUGAAAUGCGUAGAUAUUGGGAAGAACACCAGUGGCGAAGGCGGCUUUCUGGACUGUAACUGACGCUGAGGCUCGAAAGCUAGGGUAGCGAACGGGAUUAGAUACCCCGGUAGUCCUAGCCGUAAACGAUGGAUACUAGGUGUGGGAGGUAUCGACUCCUUCCGUGCCGGAGUUAACGCAAUAAGUAUCCCGCCUGGGGAGUA
This 883-nucleotide ribosomal RNA is filed under the name uncultured bacterium. RNAcentral describes it as "bacterial SSU rRNA". It matches the Rfam family "Bacterial small subunit ribosomal RNA", at positions 22 to 882 of the family's 1533-position model. The record is from RNAcentral.